CGCGUAGGCGGUAUGGGAAGUCAUGGGUGAAAGUCCUCGGCUCAACCGAGGGAUUGCCUGUGAAACCACCAUACUGGAGUGCUGGAGAGGGAAGUGGAAUUCCCAGUGUAGCGGUGAAAUGCGUAGAUAUUGGGAGGAACACCGGUGGCGAAGGCGGCUUCCUGGACAGACACUGACGCUGAGGCGCGAAAGCCAGGGGAGCGAACG
Molecule: ribosomal RNA, 207 nt
Filed under: uncultured bacterium
Lineage: Bacteria
Description: partial 16S ribosomal RNA
Rfam family: Bacterial small subunit ribosomal RNA
Source: RNAcentral